Non-coding RNA from Gossypium hirsutum (cotton), 107 nucleotides. The record is from Rfam. Lineage: Eukaryota; Viridiplantae; Streptophyta; Magnoliopsida; Malvales; Malvaceae.
AAAUCACGGUGUGGGCAUUUUUGGAUUAACAUCUUGAAACGCUUCCAAGCUUCAUGAAAACUCUCUCAUUCUAGUUGCUUAAAUGUAGCAAUUUCUCUUUUUAGUUG